CACAAAUAUAAAAGACAGAGGGAGAUCUACUAAGCAGUGAAUAUUGGAUAAUUGGUAUAAUACCAAAGAUAUAAUGUCUUGUAUAUUCAAAUACCAUCCUCAAUUGAUAUAGGAAAAAUGAUGAUGAUGAUAAAUUACUUAGUCGAAAAAGUUAACAAUACCCGGUAUAGGGAGUUUGCCAGAGGAGUAGGAGUUGUAUUUCGUUAGUUUGCCGGACCUGCACUGAGAUUCCCGCUCUUACAGGGCGAAAAAAUGGCUGCUGUCACCAGAAGAGACGACAGAACCAAG
This is a non-coding RNA of Pelobates cultripes (western spadefoot toad), 288 nucleotides long. Lineage: Eukaryota; Metazoa; Chordata; Amphibia; Anura; Pelobatidae. The record is from the annotation of a GenBank genome assembly.